GGAGUUUACGGUAUACCUUCGGGUACGUCACGGAGUCAGACUGGCGGCGGUGCUUACACACUGCAAGUCGAACGGACCACUAUUGAACUAGUGAUAUAUGGGUUAGUGGCGGACGGGUGAGUAACGCGUGGGUAACCUGCCUACACAGGGGGAGUAACACUUAGAAAUAGGUGCUAAAACCGACAUAAGCGCACAGCUUCGCAUGAAGCGGUGUGAAAAACUCCGGUGGUGUAAGAUGGACCCGCGUCUGAUUAGCUUGUUGGCGGGGUAACGGCCCACCAAGGCGACGAUCAGUAGCCGGCCUGAGAGGGCGGACGGCCACCAUUGGGACUGAGACACGGCCCAGACUCCUACGGGAGGCAGCAGUGGGGAAUAUUGCACAAUGGGGGAAACCCUGAUGCAGCGACGCCGCGUGAGUGAAGAAGUAAUUCGUUACGUAAAGCUCUAUCAGCAGGGAAGAAACACUGACCUUACGGUCAGCAGACGGUACCUGAGUAAGAAGCCCCGGCUAACUACGUG
Molecule: ribosomal RNA, 519 nt
Filed under: uncultured Lachnospiraceae bacterium
Lineage: Bacteria; Bacillati; Bacillota; Clostridia; Lachnospirales; Lachnospiraceae
Description: bacterial SSU rRNA
Rfam family: Bacterial small subunit ribosomal RNA
Source: RNAcentral